Molecule: non-coding RNA, 25 nt
Filed under: Rattus norvegicus (Norway rat)
Lineage: Eukaryota; Metazoa; Chordata; Mammalia; Rodentia; Muridae
Source: RNAcentral
UGCAUCUCCGAAGCCCCUGAACACC